GCCGAGGUAACUCAGUUGGUAGAGUGUUUCCCUGAAGAGGAAAAAGUCGGCGGUUCGAAUCCGCCCCUCGGCACCA
Molecule: transfer RNA, 76 nt
Filed under: bacterium
Lineage: Bacteria
Description: tRNA-Phe
Rfam family: tRNA
About the family: Transfer RNA (tRNA) molecules are approximately 80 nucleotides in length.
Source: RNAcentral